This 216-nucleotide ribosomal RNA is filed under the name uncultured bacterium. RNAcentral's name for it is "partial 16S ribosomal RNA". It matches the Rfam family "Bacterial small subunit ribosomal RNA", at positions 524 to 738 of the family's 1533-position model. The record is from RNAcentral.
UACGGAGGGGGCUAGCGUUGUUCGGAAUUACUGGGCGUAAAGCGCACGUAGGCGGAUAUUUAAGUCAGGGGUGAAAUCCCGGGGCUCAACCCCGGAACUGCCUUUGAUACUGGGUAUCUGGAGGUCGAGAGAGGCGAGUGGAAUUCCGAGUGUAGAGGUGAAAUUCGUAGAUAUUCGGCAAGAACACCAGUGGCGAAGGCGGCUCACUGGCCCGAU